GACUAUGGCCACACCACCCCGAAUGCAUCCGAUCUCGUCUGAUCUCAGAAGCUAAGCAGGGUCGGGCCUGGUUAUUACUUGGAUGGGAGAUCUGCACAAGUAACACCAUACUUCAUUGUCU
This 121-nucleotide ribosomal RNA is filed under the name Chinchilla lanigera (long-tailed chinchilla). Lineage: Eukaryota; Metazoa; Chordata; Mammalia; Rodentia; Chinchillidae. The record is from RNAcentral.